RNAcentral lists this ribosomal RNA (246 nucleotides) under uncultured bacterium. Its description in RNAcentral is "partial 16S ribosomal RNA". It matches the Rfam family "Bacterial small subunit ribosomal RNA", at positions 524 to 769 of the family's 1533-position model. The record is from RNAcentral.
UACGGAGGGUGCAAGCGUUAUCCGGAUUUACUGGGUUUAAAGGGUGCGCAGGCGGAUAUGUAAGUCAGUGGUGAAAUCUCUAGGCUUAACCUGGAAAUUGCCGUUGAUACUAUAUAUCUUGAAUGUUGUGGAGGUAAGCAGAAUAUGUCAUGUAGCGGUGAAAUGCUUAGAUAUGACAUAGAAUACCUAUUGCGAAGGCAGCUUACUACGCAGAUAUUGACGCUCAUGCACGAAAGCGUGGGGAUC